AUCUACUUUUACUUACUUCUACCUAUUUCUAUAUGUAAUUAUUAGCUUACAUGAUUAUGGUCGUGACACUAGUACAACCCUGACUUCAGCAACGAUUGCCUCAGUCUUCUCAAAACCCUAUGAAGAAAAAAAAUCCAAUUCUUUGUCUUUUUUCCCCGCUCCGAAGCAUGAAGCUAGCUCUCCGAUCCUUCUAAAAAACUUCU
This 203-nucleotide long non-coding RNA is filed under the name Physcomitrium patens. Its description in RNAcentral is "long non-coding RNA (PPAT_LNC004121)". The record is from RNAcentral. Lineage: Eukaryota; Viridiplantae; Streptophyta; Bryopsida; Funariales; Funariaceae.